Molecule: long non-coding RNA, 777 nt
Filed under: Phoenix dactylifera (date palm)
Lineage: Eukaryota; Viridiplantae; Streptophyta; Magnoliopsida; Arecales; Arecaceae
Description: long non-coding RNA (PDAC_LNC001682)
Source: RNAcentral
UUUUUACUGUUCAAUGAGUCUGCCAUCGCUGAAAAAGUUCGUCUCUCUCUCUCUCUCUCUCUCUCUCUCUUCUUCUUACGUUACNNNNNNNNNNNNNNNNNNNNGCAGUAACAUUUUACUUGUUCAAUGAGUCUGCCAUCGCUGAAAGUUACGUCUCUCUCUCUCUCUCUCUCUCUCUCUCUUUUCUAAAAGGUCCGGGUGGAUGUGAUGAGCCCAUGUGUUGCUUGUUUGGUUUUUACAGUCAUAUCUGACUCUCUUCGGCUCAGUGGUUGCCAUUUUACUGUGUCGGCAGGGUAUCAAUCCGGUCUGGUGUCAGAGGUUUUAACCGAUGGUUACUCUUAUCGUUCAAGUUCUUGGAUUACAAGUAUGAGGCGGCGAAGGCUUUUUGUUUUUUCGUGAUCAGGGACAUAAGGGCAGACAGAGCAUAUUUGGCUGUUCGACUGUGGGAGCAGAGCUGUAGGCUGCUUGGGAGGGCGUUUUGUAUGCGAGACGAGUGUUGAGGGCCGACAUACUUAUUCUCGAGGAUGAUUGUUCUACAGUGAUUGACUGGAUACGAGGUGUAGACACGUAUGUGGACGGUCACCAUCUGAUACGGGACACUUAUAGUUUGGUGCAGGAGCUGAUCUUCUGUCAGAUGACCCAUGCUUACCGAGAGGCGAACAGUGCAGCAAACUGGAUCGUCUCUUAUGUCGCCCGGCACACUGGGGAGGUCUUCUGGUCUAGUUUAGAUGGCGUUUUACACGCCUUAUUUUGUUUACUAUGUCUCGCUGUAUUCAC